Molecule: long non-coding RNA, 324 nt
Filed under: Mytilus galloprovincialis (Mediterranean mussel)
Lineage: Eukaryota; Metazoa; Mollusca; Bivalvia; Mytilida; Mytilidae
Source: RNAcentral
CGCAUGUGUAAACUAUUCAUGUAAGCAUAGUAAGGGUUGCAUUUGAUGAUCAUUUGUAAUUUUAAUGGUUUUUUUUCAUUUAGUCUACAACCCCCUGGUCUGGACACUUUGACAGCAAUUCUAAAUAGUCUUUUGACAGGAGCUAAUGUGGCAGAUAUUGCUUUAUUAGAACAUGGAAGUAAUAUACUUCCAUGAUAAAAAAAUGUGUUGAUAGAUGGAAUUUGUUCCUAUUACCUUGCCGAUACAUUAAGGGGUAUUUUGACAUCUCAGAAAUGAAGUCAUUUAAAUUAAACAUAAUAUAAAUUAAGAAAUUAUAAAUAAAUC